CGGCGGACGGGUGAGUAAUGCCUAAGAAUCUGCCUGGUAGUGGGGGACAACGUUUCGAAAGGAACGCUAAUACCGCAUACGUCCUACGGGAGAAAGCAGGGACCUUCGGGCCUUGCGCUAUCAGAUGAGCCUAGGUCGGAUUAGCUAGUUGGUGAGGUAAUGGCUCACCAAGGCGACGAUCCGUAACUGGUCUGAGAGGAUGAUCAGUCACACUGGAACUGAGACACGGUCCAGACUCCUACGGGAGGCAGCAGUC
RNAcentral lists this ribosomal RNA (256 nucleotides) under uncultured Pseudomonas sp. RNAcentral's name for it is "partial 16S ribosomal RNA". It matches the Rfam family "Bacterial small subunit ribosomal RNA", at positions 96 to 355 of the family's 1533-position model. Lineage: Bacteria; Pseudomonadati; Pseudomonadota; Gammaproteobacteria; Pseudomonadales; Pseudomonadaceae. The record is from RNAcentral.